GAUGAACGCUGGCGGCGUGCCUAAUACAUGCAAGUCGAGCGAACAGACGAGGAGCUUGCUCCUCUGACGUUAGCGGCGGACGGGUGAGUAACACGUGGAUAACCUACCUAUAAGACUGGGAUAACUUCGGGAAACCGGAGCUAAUACCGGAUAAUAUAUUGAACCGCAUGGUUCAAUAGUGAAAGACGGUUUUGCUGUCACUUAUAGAUGGAUCCGCGCCGCAUUAGCUAGUUGGUAAGGUAACGGCUUACCAAGGCGACGAUGCGUAGCCGACCUGAGAGGGUGAUAGGCCACACGGGAACUGAGACACGGUCCAGACUCCUACGGGAGGCAGCAGUAGGGAAUCUGCCGCAAUGGGCGAAAGCUUGACGGAGCAACGCCGCGUGAGUGAUGAAGGUCUUCGGAUCGUAAAACUCUGUUAUGAGGGAAGAACAAAUGUGUAAGUAACUAUGCACGUCUUGACGGUACCUAAUCAGAAAGCCACGGCUAACUACGUG
This 497-nucleotide ribosomal RNA is filed under the name uncultured bacterium. Its description in RNAcentral is "partial 16S ribosomal RNA". It matches the Rfam family "Bacterial small subunit ribosomal RNA", at positions 28 to 507 of the family's 1533-position model. The record is from RNAcentral.